AGUGAACGCUGGCGGUAGGCCUAACACAUGCAAGUCGAACGGCAGCACAGUAAGAGCUUGCUCUUACGGGUGGCGAGUGGCGGACGGGUGAGGAGUACAUCGGAACCUACUUUUUCGUGGGGGAUAACGUAGGGAAACUUACGCUAAUACCGCAUACGACCUACGGGUGAAAGCAGGGGAUCUUCGGACCUUGCGCGAUUGAAUGAGCCGAUGUCGGAUUAGCUAGUUGGCGGGGUAAAGGCCCACCAAGGCGACGAUCCGUAGCUGGUCUGAGAGGAUGAUCAGCCACACUGGAACUGAGACACGGUCCAGACUCCUACGGGAGGCAGCAGUGGGGAAUAUUGGACAAUGGGCGCAAGCCUGAUCCAGCCAUACCGCGUGGGUGAAGAAGGCCUUCGGGUUGUAAAGCCCUUUUGUUGGGAAAGAAAAGCAGCAGGUUAAUACCCCGCUGUUCUGACGGUACCCAAAGAAUAAGCACCGGCUAACUUCGUG
RNAcentral lists this ribosomal RNA (492 nucleotides) under uncultured bacterium. Its description in RNAcentral is "partial 16S ribosomal RNA". It matches the Rfam family "Bacterial small subunit ribosomal RNA", at positions 29 to 507 of the family's 1533-position model. The record is from RNAcentral.